UACGUAGGGUGCGAGCGUUGUCCGGAAUUAUUGGGCGUAAAGAGCUUGUAGGCGGUUUGUCGCGUCUGCCGUGAAAAUUCGAGGCUCAACCCUCGAACUUGCGGUGGGUACGGGCAGACUAGAGUGUGGUAGGGGAGACUGGAAGUUCCUGGUGGUAGCGGUGGAAAUGCGCAGAUAAUCAGGAGGAACACCGAUGGCGAAGGCGG
Molecule: ribosomal RNA, 206 nt
Filed under: uncultured bacterium
Lineage: Bacteria
Description: partial 16S ribosomal RNA
Rfam family: Bacterial small subunit ribosomal RNA
Source: RNAcentral